CAGGAGUCUGGUGCCUCACUUGGAUUCUACUCAGCCAAAAGCAAGUAGCAGAUAGCAUUAUCUCCUCAUAAUUAAAUCUGGCCAAAGUAAGAAUAACUUAUAAAGUAGAAAUUACAUACAAUUCCUUGCCUUCCUUGGAGCAGCAUUAAAAAAGAAAAUUUCACUUCACCUUUUCACCCCAGUGACCUUCAGCAAAUCUAAGUAACUUUUUCAAAAACACAUCAUUACUAGACAACAACUAUACAAUCAGGAAAUCAG
This 258-nucleotide unclassified non-coding RNA is filed under the name Hevea brasiliensis (rubber tree). The record is from RNAcentral. Lineage: Eukaryota; Viridiplantae; Streptophyta; Magnoliopsida; Malpighiales; Euphorbiaceae.